GACGAACGCUGGCGGCGUGCUUAACACAUGCAAGUCGAACGGAAAGGCCCUGCUUUUGUGGGGUGCUCGAGUGGCGAACGGGUGAGUAACACGUGAGUAACCUGCUCUUGACUUUGGGAUAACUUCAGGAAACUGGGGCUAAUAUCGGAUAGGAGCUCCUGCUGCAUGGUGGGGGUUGGAAAGUUUCGGCGUUUGGGGAUGGACUCGCGGCUUAUCAGCUUGUUGGUGGGGUAGUGGCUUACCAAGGCUGUGACGGGUAGCCGGCCUGAGAGGGUGACCGGCCACAUGGGGACUGAGAUACGGCCCAGACUCCUACGGGAGGCAGCAGUGGGGAAUAUUGCACAGUGAGCGGAAGCCUGAUGCAGCAACGCCGCGUGCGGGAUGACGGCCUUCGGGUUGUAAACCGCUUUCGCCUGUGACGAAGCGUGAGUGACGGUAAUGGGUAAAGAAGCACCGGCUAACUACGUG
This 468-nucleotide ribosomal RNA is filed under the name uncultured bacterium. RNAcentral describes it as "partial 16S ribosomal RNA". It matches the Rfam family "Bacterial small subunit ribosomal RNA", at positions 28 to 507 of the family's 1533-position model. The record is from RNAcentral.